Molecule: unclassified non-coding RNA, 250 nt
Filed under: uncultured fungus
Lineage: Eukaryota; Fungi
Description: partial contains 5.8S ribosomal RNA, internal transcribed spacer 2, and large subunit ribosomal RNA
Rfam family: 5.8S ribosomal RNA (bases 1-52)
Source: RNAcentral
AACGCACAUUGCGCCCCUUGGUAUUCCGAGGGGCAUGCCUGUUCGAGCGUCAUUACACCACUCAAGCUAUGCUUGGUAUUGGGUGUCGUCCUUAGUUGGGCGCGCCUUAAAGACCUCGGCGAGGCCUCACCGGCUUUAGGCGUAGUAGAAUUUAUUCGAACGUCUGUCAAAGGAGAGGACUUCUGCCGACUGAAACCUUUUAUUUUUCUAGGUUGACCUCGGAUCAGGUAGGGAUACCCGCUGAACUUAA